RNAcentral lists this ribosomal RNA (506 nucleotides) under uncultured bacterium. RNAcentral's name for it is "partial 16S ribosomal RNA". It matches the Rfam family "Bacterial small subunit ribosomal RNA", at positions 29 to 523 of the family's 1533-position model. The record is from RNAcentral.
AGUGAACGCUGGCGGUAGGCCUAACACAUGCAAGUCGAACGGCAGCACAGGAGAGCUUGCUCUCUGGGUGGCGAGUGGCGGACGGGUGAGGAAUACAUCGGAAUCUACUCUGUCGUGGGGGAUAACGUAGGGAAACUUACGCUAAUACCGCAUACGACCUACGGGCGAAAGCAGGCGACCUUCGGGCCUUGCGCGAUUGAAUGAGCCGAUGUCGGAUUAGCGAGUUGGCGGGGUAAAGGCCCACCAAGGCGACGAUCCGUAGCUGGUCUGAGAGGAUGAUCAGCUACACUGGAACUGAGACACGGUCCAGACUCCUACGGGGGGCAGCAGUGGGGAAUAUUGGACAAUGGGCGCAAGCCUGAUCCAGCCAUACCGCGUGGGUGAAGAAGGCCUUCGGGUUGUAAAGCCCUUUUGUUGGGAAAGAAAUCCAGCUGGCUAAUACCCGGUUGGGAUGACGGUACCCAAAGAAUAAGCACCGGCUAACUUCGUGCCAGCCGCCGCCGUAA